Sphaeramia orbicularis (orbiculate cardinalfish) is the source of this 138-nucleotide long non-coding RNA. RefSeq lists it as uncharacterized. The record is from RefSeq and is a predicted model, not a curated record. The transcript has 2 exons. Lineage: Eukaryota; Metazoa; Chordata; Actinopteri; Kurtiformes; Apogonidae.
AAAAAACUAGGACCAGGUACCAGAUUCCAAAAAACUAGUACCAGGUACCAGAUUCCAAAAACUAGGACCAGGUACCAGAUUCUAAAAAACUAGGACCAGGUACCAGAUUCCAAAACACUAGUACCAGGUGCCAGAGUC